GUCAGCAGCUAUACCACCCAUAGUUCCGACUAGCUAAUUUAUCUGCAGCUAAGCAGUUUUGGGCCUAGUCAGUACUUGGAUGGGAAACCAACUGUGAAAGCUGGGUCGCUGCUGCCU
This 117-nucleotide ribosomal RNA is filed under the name Paramormyrops kingsleyae. The record is from RNAcentral. Lineage: Eukaryota; Metazoa; Chordata; Actinopteri; Osteoglossiformes; Mormyridae.